RNAcentral lists this long non-coding RNA (375 nucleotides) under Vigna radiata. RNAcentral's name for it is "long non-coding RNA (VRAD_LNC007096)". Lineage: Eukaryota; Viridiplantae; Streptophyta; Magnoliopsida; Fabales; Fabaceae. The record is from RNAcentral.
AUGGGAAGAAUAUAUGAUAUGUAUGGAAUGGGAAACUGGCAUGUAAAAAAGUAGCCUUCACCCAGAUAACUUUCUUCUCUCUUUUCUUUUUUUUUUUUUCUUUUCCUUUUAAUUUUUCUAGGGGAUUUUCUUUUAGAUUCUUGGUUACCUCUUUAUGUGGGCAUACAAUACAAGACAAGCACGGGUCUGUCAUGGAACACCACUAACAUAAGAAACCUUCACCGAGAUCAUUAAAGAUCAGAAGAAUCGUGUGAAAAUGUUGGUUUUCUUAAUUUCUCUCUCAAUCUCUUCCACUCAGACUACUUUCAAACUAACCUAAUGGAACUUAACUUAUUUAUCUAGAAAAACGAGACCCAUUAAUAACGCAAACGCGUC